UACGUAGGCAGCAAGCGUUGUUCGGAGUUACUGGGCGUAAAGAGUAUGUAGGCGGCUUCGCAAGUUUGGUGUGAAAUCUCCCGGCUCAACUGGGAGGGUGCGCCGAAAACUGCGGGGCUAGAGUGCGGGAGAGGAGAGCGGAAUUCCUGGUGUAGCGGUGAAAUGCGUAGAUAUCAGGAGGAACACCGGUGGUGUAGACGGCUCUCUGGACCGCGACUGACGCUGAGAUACGAAAGCGUGGGGAGCAAACAGG
This 253-nucleotide ribosomal RNA is filed under the name uncultured bacterium. Its description in RNAcentral is "partial 16S ribosomal RNA". It matches the Rfam family "Bacterial small subunit ribosomal RNA", at positions 524 to 776 of the family's 1533-position model. The record is from RNAcentral.